GAUAUUUUGAAGAGUUGUGUGAGCCAUUCUAACCCCCAAAUCCGACCACUCUCCCUCCCUCAUUCACUCUCAUCUGAUUUUUGAAGACUCUCUCAAGUGUUCUCUCCAUUUUCAACCCCAAGAACACCAAAGAAACUUGGAGGCUAAGUCUUGGUCUAGGAAGUAUUUUCCCUAAGUUGGUUAGGGUUUUUGAAAGGUUUUGGAGGAGCCAAAGCUAAUAGGAAGGUCCAAACCUUAAGCAAGAACACCAAAGAGUAUUGGCUAAGCGUAACUGGACUGAACGUUGGAGGGUGAAAACUUGCUGAGCGCUAAGGACUCCAAGUAAGU
Molecule: long non-coding RNA, 327 nt
Organism: Humulus lupulus (European hop)
Lineage: Eukaryota; Viridiplantae; Streptophyta; Magnoliopsida; Rosales; Cannabaceae
Exons: 3
Source: RefSeq, a predicted model, not a curated record